UGGUUAAGUUAAUAAGGGCGCACGGUGGAUGCCUUGGCACUAGGAGCCGAAGAAGGACGGCACUAACACCGAUAUGCCUCGGGGAGCUGUAAGUGAGCUGUGAUCCGGGGAUUUCCGAAUGGGGAAACCCACUGUUCGUAAUGGAGCAGUAUCCAUGUGUGAAUUCAUAGCACAUGAGAAGGCAGACUCAGGGAACUGAAACAUCUAAGUACCUGAAGGAAGAGAAAGCAAAUGCGAUUCCCCAAGUAGCGGCGAGCGAAACGGGAUCAGCCCAAACCAGAAGGCUUGCCUUCUGGGGUUGUAGGACACUCUAUACGGAGUUACAAAGGAACGGAUUAAGCGAAGCGACCUGGAACGGUCCGCGAGACAGGGUAACAGCCCCGUAGCUGAAAGUUCGUUCCCUCCAGAGUGGAUCCUGAGUACGGCGGAACACGAGAAAUUCCGUCGGAAUCCGGGAGGACCAUCUCCCAAGGCUAAAUACUCCCUAGUGACCGAUAGUGAACCAGUACCGUGAGGGAAAGGUGAAAAGCACCCCGGAAGGGGAGUGAAAUAGAUCCUGAAACCGUGUGCCUACAAGUAGUUAGAGCCCGUUAAUGGGUGAUAGCGUGCCUUUUGUAGAAUGAACCGGCGAGUUACGAUUACAUGCAAGGUUAAGG
RNAcentral lists this ribosomal RNA (656 nucleotides) under Planococcus maritimus. RNAcentral's name for it is "bacterial LSU rRNA". It matches the Rfam family "Bacterial large subunit ribosomal RNA", at positions 1 to 651 of the family's 2925-position model. Lineage: Bacteria; Bacillati; Bacillota; Bacilli; Caryophanales; Caryophanaceae. The record is from RNAcentral.